Molecule: ribosomal RNA, 494 nt
Filed under: uncultured bacterium
Lineage: Bacteria
Description: partial 16S ribosomal RNA
Rfam family: Bacterial small subunit ribosomal RNA
Source: RNAcentral
GACGAACGCUGGCGGCGUGCUUAACACAUGCAAGUCGAACGGUGAAGCGCCUUCCUUUUUGGUGGGUGUGGAUGAGUGGCGAACGGGUGAGUAACACGUGAGUAACCUGCCCCCUUCUUCUGGAUAACCGCAUGAAAGUGUGGCUAAUACGGGAUAUUCUGGGUCUGUCGCAUGAUGGGUCUGGGAAAGAUAUUGUUUCGGUGGGGGAUGGGCUCGCGGCCUAUCAGCUUGUUGGUGGGGUGAUGGCCUACCAAGGCGGUGACGGGUAGCCGGCCUGAGAGGGUGGACGGUCACACUGGGACUGAGACACGGCCCAGACUCCUACGGGAGGCAGCAGUGGGGAAUAUUGCACAAUGGGCGCAAGCCUGAUGCAGCGACGCCGCGUGAGGGAUGGAGGCCUUCGGUUUGUGAACCUCUUUCGCCAGUGAAGCAGGCCUGCCUCGUUUGUGGGUGGGUUGACGGUAGCUGGAUAAGAAGCGCCGGCUAACUACGUG